UACGUAGGUGACGAAGCGUUGUCCGGAUUUACUGGGCGUAAAGGAGCGCGCAGGCGGUCGAUCAAGUUCGAGUGUGAAAGCCCCCGGCUCAACUGGGGAGGGUCAUUCGAUACUUGAUCGACUCGAAGGCAGGAGAGGGUAGUGGAAUUCCCGGUGUAGUGGUGAAAUGCGUAGAUAAUCUGGAGGAACACCGGUGGCGAAGGCGGCGUCCUGGACCAACACUGACACUGAGGAGCGAAAGCCAGGGGAGCAAACGGG
This 258-nucleotide ribosomal RNA is filed under the name uncultured bacterium. RNAcentral describes it as "partial 16S ribosomal RNA". It matches the Rfam family "Bacterial small subunit ribosomal RNA", at positions 524 to 776 of the family's 1533-position model. The record is from RNAcentral.